Molecule: ribosomal RNA, 493 nt
Filed under: uncultured bacterium
Lineage: Bacteria
Description: partial 16S ribosomal RNA
Rfam family: Bacterial small subunit ribosomal RNA
Source: RNAcentral
AUUGAACGCUGGCGGCAUGCUUUACACAUGCAAGUCGAACGGUAACAGGUUAAGCUGACGAGUGGCGAACGGGUGAGUAAUGCAUCGGAACGUGCCCGGUCGUGGGGGAUAACGCAGCGAAAGCUGCGCUAAUACCGCAUACGAUCUGAGGAUGAAAGCGGGGGACCGUAAGGCCUCGCGCGAUCGGAGCGGCCGGUGUCAGAUUAGGUAGUUGGUGGGGUAAAGGCUCACCAAGCCGCCGAUCUGUAGCUCGUCUGAGAGGACGACCAGCCCAAGUGGGACUGGGACACGGCCCAGAGUCCAACGUGAGGCAGCAGUGGGGAAUGUUGGACAAUGGGCGCAAGCCUGAUGCAGCAAUGCCGCGUGCAGGAAGAAGGCCUUCGGGUUGUAAACUGCUGUUGUACGGAGCGAAAAGGCUCUCUCUAAUACAGGGGGCUCAUGACGGUACCGUAAGAAUAAGCACCGGCUAACUCCGUGCCAGCCGCCGCAGUAA